UGCUCAUGUGGCGGAAUUGGCAGACGCGUACGGUUCAGGACCGUAUGGGAAAACCCUUGGAGGUUCGAGUCCUCUCAUGAGCAG
This 84-nucleotide transfer RNA is filed under the name Candidatus Xiphinematobacter sp. Idaho Grape. Its description in RNAcentral is "tRNA-Ser". It matches the Rfam family "tRNA". Rfam says of the family: Transfer RNA (tRNA) molecules are approximately 80 nucleotides in length. Their secondary structure includes four short double-helical elements and three loops (D, anti-codon, and T loops). The record is from RNAcentral. Lineage: Bacteria; Pseudomonadati; Verrucomicrobiota; Spartobacteria.